RNAcentral lists this long non-coding RNA (805 nucleotides) under Capsicum annuum. RNAcentral describes it as "long non-coding RNA (CANN_LNC016400)". The record is from RNAcentral. Lineage: Eukaryota; Viridiplantae; Streptophyta; Magnoliopsida; Solanales; Solanaceae.
AGGGUUAUACUACAUAUAUUAUUUGCAGGGUAUCAAUUCUCUGCCACAGAUAGAUGAUAUGCGUACUGAAAAAACAGAGUUUAUUGCAUUACAUAGAGCACCAUAUUUACACAUACUAAUAAACAAAAUGAAUAUAUCUACUUAGACAAGUGGAAUUUGAAAGAAUUGAGGACACCUCUACACGUUCAGCUGAUCACCUAAUAUACAUCAAUAUAAUAUGUAAACUAUACUCCAUCUUCAUGCAUUCCCCUCAUUGUUUGACUGUCCUCAUAUCUGCAGUAGCAAAGCUAUCAAAAGUAUUCAGAACCACUACAACAACAACAUAUCCAGUGUAAUCCCACAAGUGAGGUCUGGAUGGGGUAAAAUGUACACUGACCUAAAUCCUACCUUUGUGGGGUAGAGAAGCUGUUUCCGAUAGACCCUCAGCUCAAAAGGGAAGUGAUAACUAAAGGAUUGAAAAAUUCUGAUAUGACCCUUGUGAAUAUGAAAGGAGUCAAGCACACUGUUUGUCUAGAUGCCAAGAUGACCUCCUUGAUUCCUGUUCAAUUCUCAAAUGAAUAGUAGCUCAGUUGGUUGGCUACCUACCUGAACGUUCACCUUGUAGGUAAGGGUUCAAUUCCACACCUUGUAAUCCCCUACCCCCAAUUUAAAAAAAGAUAUCGCAGAUGAAAAGUUUUACCUAGAGAAGAAAGAAUAUUUUGAAGAAAAGGAUAACUUAGUCUUAUGAACAAUAGGUUCAGGACAACUAUGUGAUUGCAGAAGUGAUCCAAUGCAGGACAACAAUUACCCCAAAUGAUCCAGCUUU